RNAcentral lists this long non-coding RNA (224 nucleotides) under Elaeis guineensis (African oil palm). Its description in RNAcentral is "long non-coding RNA (EGUI_LNC018945)". Lineage: Eukaryota; Viridiplantae; Streptophyta; Magnoliopsida; Arecales; Arecaceae. The record is from RNAcentral.
AAGAACAGAUCAAGCAUCUAAAAAUUGUUUCAGCAGCUUCGGUAACAAUUUUAGGAGCAGAUUCCUCACGAACUUGCCUUCUGCUUUUGCCAAGCAGACACAUGAAGUUACCGCCCUUCUUUCAUUUAUUUCACUCAUUGCCAAGCUGUAAACAAAAUUUGAUUUGCUGCAGGGGCAGCUGAAGGGCAAGACCACUAAAGCCUUUGCCUUAGGCCCCCGCCCCU